GAGAUAAUCUGCUAAUGUGGGUGCAGCAGACAUCCCGCGGUUUGUGGAAUCGAUAAAGGAUGGGGAUCAAUGGUGUUUGUGCACUGUGCGGUCUGUGCCCAAUUGCCUGCCUUGUGCUGUGGAAUCUGUACAUCUGGCCAACAUGUGCUUGUGUGAGCCUGACAGUGCAUUUUCCAGAGCCUCACCUCGGCUCUGCCCUGGAGGCUCUGUGCUGCUGGAAUCAGACUCAAGGACCUCAUCAGAGGACCAUGGCCCCGUAUCACCUGGGUCAGGCACUGAAGCUGGGACAGGAGAGCAGAGACUUCCAAAAUGAGGGAUCCCUGUGUUCUGAGGUGAUCAUGACUGGGACCCAAGGACUCAAGCGCAUGCUCCAGAGGGAAUCGUUUCCCACAAGGCCUUUGGCAGGAACAGGGAUCCUGGGAGCCUGCCAAGCAGAGCGCACAGUGUUCCUGGAGUCUCGCUGCCCAGAUGCCACGGAAUCAGUUGAAGCCAGGUCUCCAGCUGGGGUGGACGUGCCCACCAGCUGCCGAAGGCCAAGACGCCAGGUCCGGUGGACGUGACAAGCAGGACAUGACAUGGUCCGGUGUGACGGCGAGGACAGAGGAGGCGCGUCCGGCCUUCCUGAACACCUUAGGCUGGUGGGGCUGCGGCAAGAAGCGGGUCUGUUUCUUUACUUCCUCCACGGAGUCGGCACACUAUGGCUGCCCUCUGGGCUCCCAGAACCCACAACAUGAAAGAAAUGGUGCUACCCAGCUCAAGCCUGGGCCUUUGAAUCCGGACACAAAACCCUCUAGCUUGGAAAUGAAUAUGCUGCACUUUACAACCACUGCACUACCUGACUCAGGAAUCGGCUCUGGAAGGUGAAGCUAGAGGAACCAGACCUCAUCAGCCCAACAUCAAAGACACCAUCGGAACAGCAGCGCCCGCAGCACCCACCCCGCACCGGCGACUCCAUCUUCAUGGCCACCCCCUGCGGCGGACGGUUGACCACCAGCCACCACAUCAUCCCAGAGCUGAGCUCCUCCAGCGGGAUGACGCCGUCCCCACCACCUCCCUCUUCUUCUUUUUCAUCCUUCUGUCUCUUUGUUUCUGAGCUUUCCUGUCUUUCCUUUUUUCUGAGAGAUUCAAAGCCUCCACGACUCUGUUUCCCCCGUCCCUUCUGAAUUUAAUUUGCACUAAGUCAUUUGCACUGGUUGGAGUUGUGGAGACGGCCUUGAGUCUCAGUACGAGUGUGCGUGAGUGUGAGCCACCUUGGCAAGUGCCUGUGCAGGGCCCGGCCGCCCUCCAUCUGGGCCGGGUGACUGGGCGCCGGCUGUGUGCCCGAGGCCUCACCCUGCCCUCGCCUAGUCUGGAAGCUCCGACCGACAUCACGGAGCAGCCUUCAAGCAUUCCAUUACGCCCCAUCUCGCUCUGUGCCCCUCCCCACCAGGGCUUCAGCAGGAGCCCUGGACUCAUCAUCAAUAAACACUGUUACAGCAAUU
Molecule: long non-coding RNA, 1481 nt
Organism: Homo sapiens (human)
Lineage: Eukaryota; Metazoa; Chordata; Mammalia; Primates; Hominidae
Gene: H19
Product: H19 imprinted maternally expressed transcript
Source: Ensembl